GACGAACGCUGGCGGCGUGCUUAACACAUGCAAGUCGAACGAAGAGCGAUGGAAGCUUGCUUCUAUCAAUCUUAGUGGCGAACGGGUGAGUAACGCGUAAUCAACCUGCCCUUCAGAGGGGGACAACAGUUGGAAACGACUGCUAAUACCGCAUACGAUCUAAUCUCGGCAUCGAGGAUAGAUGAAAGGUGGCCUCUACAUGUAAGCUAUCACUGAAGGAGGGGAUUGCGUCUGAUUAGCUAGUUGGAGGGGUAACGGCCCACCAAGGCGAUGAUCAGUAGCCGGUCUGAGAGGAUGAACGGCCACAUUGGGACUGAGAAACGGCCCAGACUCCUACGGGAGGCAGCAGUGGGGAAUCUUCCGCAAUGGACGAAAGUCUGACGGAGCAACGCCGCGUGAGCGAUGACGGCCUUCGGGUUGUAAAGCUCUGUUAAUCGGGACGAAAGGCCUUCUUGCGAAUAGUGAGAAGGAUUGACGGUACCGGAAUAGAAAGCCACGGCUAACUACGUG
RNAcentral lists this ribosomal RNA (510 nucleotides) under uncultured bacterium. RNAcentral's name for it is "partial 16S ribosomal RNA". It matches the Rfam family "Bacterial small subunit ribosomal RNA", at positions 28 to 507 of the family's 1533-position model. The record is from RNAcentral.